Molecule: ribosomal RNA, 135 nt
Filed under: Cycas taiwaniana
Lineage: Eukaryota; Viridiplantae; Streptophyta; Cycadopsida; Cycadales; Cycadaceae
Source: RNAcentral
CGUUAAGCUUUUUAUCAUCCUGGCGUCGAGCUAUUUUUCCGCAGGGCUUCCCCUACAGUAUCGUCACCGCAGUAGAGUUUAACCACCAAGUUCGGGAUGGAUUGGUGUGGUUCCUCCACGCCUAGGACACCAGAA